RNAcentral lists this ribosomal RNA (491 nucleotides) under uncultured bacterium. RNAcentral's name for it is "bacterial SSU rRNA". It matches the Rfam family "Bacterial small subunit ribosomal RNA", at positions 28 to 526 of the family's 1533-position model. The record is from RNAcentral.
AAUGAACGUUGGCGGCGUGGAUUAGGCAUGCAAGUCGGACGGGGCCGCAAGGUACCCGUGGCGCAAGGGUGAGUAAGGCGACGGCAACCCACCCCGGGGCCGGCCAUAGCCGCGGGAAACCGCGGGUAAUAGCCGGCGACGUCGCGGCCCGGCAUCGGGCCGCGAUCAAAGGUGCGAUCCCGCCCCGGGACGGGCCGUCGUGGUAUCAGCUAGUUGGCGGGGUGACGGCCCACCAAGGCCCUGACGCCUACCGGGCGUGCGAGCGCGGCCCGGCACACUGGGACUGAGACACUGCCCAGACUCCUACGGGAGGCUGCAGUCGAGAAUCUUCGGCAAUGGGCGCAAGCCCGACCGAGCGACGCCGCGUGGAGGACGAAGGCCUUCGGGUUGUAAACUCCUGUCGAGGGGGAGGAAGGCGCCGUGCAGAGCGGCGCUUGACCGAUCCCUGGAGGAAGCACGGGCUAAGUUCGUGCCAGCAGCCGCAGUAAUAC